AACCAUUCUCACCUGCGGCUAGACCUGCGGAGGGAUCAUUACUUAGUACGCAGGCCGCAAGGCCCGCUGGAAACGCGGGGGCUUUGAACCCCCCUGCGCGUACGGUAGACCCUUUGUGAAAAUCCCUUGUUGCUUCGGCAGCUCCUCCCUUGAUCCGCUGGGGAGUGGUUAGCCUGCCGAUGGCACGUUCCGGAAACCCCUUUUUUAUGAAAGAAAGCAUUGAAAAAAGUCUGACCAACA
This 240-nucleotide unclassified non-coding RNA is filed under the name soil metagenome. Its description in RNAcentral is "partial contains 5.8S ribosomal RNA, internal transcribed spacer 2, and large subunit ribosomal RNA". The record is from RNAcentral.